CAGUAGCCACGGGAAUACGAAGGGGGCUAGCGUUGUUCGGAAUUACUGGGCGUAAAGGGCGCGUAGGCGGCCAUUCAAGUUAGAUGUGAAAGCCCUGGGCUCAACCUAGGAAUUGCAUUUGAUACUGUUUGGCUUGAGUUCGGGAGAGGUGAGUGGAAUUCCCAGUGUAGAGGUGAAAUUCGUAGAUAUUGGGAAGAACACCAGUGGCGAAGGCGGCUCACUGGACCGACACUGACGCUGAGGCGCGAAAGCGUGGGGAGCAAACAGGAUUAGAUACCCCGGUAGUCCCUGUCUCUUAUAC
Molecule: ribosomal RNA, 301 nt
Filed under: uncultured bacterium
Lineage: Bacteria
Description: partial 16S ribosomal RNA
Rfam family: Bacterial small subunit ribosomal RNA
Source: RNAcentral